GGUUCCUCCUGUUUCACGACAAGAGGCUAAGAGGGAAGAACGUGUGAAUCGUUCGCAGUACCCGCUGCUGUAACUCCGUCGUUUCCUAACCCACUGAAAGCCACUGCAUUCUUGAUUUGCGGGAAGGCGGGUUAGGGAGGAGAAGCCAGAAGACCUGCCAUUUUC
This 165-nucleotide non-coding RNA is filed under the name uncultured Prevotellamassilia sp. Lineage: Bacteria; Pseudomonadati; Bacteroidota; Bacteroidia; Bacteroidales; Prevotellaceae. The record is from RNAcentral.